CACGUAGGGUGCGAGCGUUGUCCGGAAUUAUUGGGCGUAAGGGCUCGUAGGCGGGGUGUCGCGUCGGCCGUGAAAACCUGCAGCUUAACUGUGGGCUUGCGGUCGAUACGGGCAUCACUGGAGUUCGGCAGGGGAGACUGGAAUUCCUGGUGUAGCGGUGAAAUGCGCAGAUAUCAGGAGGAACACCGGUGGCGAAGGCGGGUCUCUGGGCCGAUACUGACGCUGAGGAGCGAAAGCGUGGGGAGCGAACAGG
This 253-nucleotide ribosomal RNA is filed under the name uncultured bacterium. Its description in RNAcentral is "partial 16S ribosomal RNA". It matches the Rfam family "Bacterial small subunit ribosomal RNA", at positions 524 to 776 of the family's 1533-position model. The record is from RNAcentral.